GAUGAAGAACGUAGCGAAAUGCGAUAAGUAAUGCGAAUUGCAGAAUCCGUGAGUCAUCGAAUCUUUGAACGCACAUUGCGCCCUCUGGUAUUCCGGAGGGCAUGCCUGUUCGAGCGUCAUUAUCACCCCUCAAGCCCGGCUUGUUGUUGGAUGCAGCGCUUAUCCCGCUCCUCCCAAAGAUAAUGACGGCGUCUGCGACGACUCCUGUACACUGAGCUUUCGGGCACGUACACGGCUAGAAGUCCAGACCCGGUCGCCGUCCCCCCCACGGGACACCCAUUACCACAAGGUUGACCUCGGAUCAGGUAGGAAUACCCGCUGAACUUAAGCAUAUCAAUAAGCGGAGGA
RNAcentral lists this unclassified non-coding RNA (348 nucleotides) under soil metagenome. RNAcentral's name for it is "partial contains 5.8S ribosomal RNA, internal transcribed spacer 2, and large subunit ribosomal RNA". The stretch from base 1 to 119 matches the Rfam family "5.8S ribosomal RNA", at positions 35 to 154 of the family's 154-position model. The record is from RNAcentral.